CCUACGGGUGGCAGCAGUGGGGAAUAUUGGACAAUGGGCGAAAGCCUGAUCCAGCCAUGCCGCGUGUGUGAAGAAGGCCUUCGGGUUGUAAAGCACUUUCAGUGGGGAAGAAAGCCUUGGGGCUAAUACCCUCGAGGAAGGACAUCACCCACAGAAGAAGCACCGGCUAACUCCGUGCCAGCAGCCGCGGUAAUACGGAGGGUGCGGGCGUUAAUCGGAAUUACUGGGCGUAAAGCGCGCGUAGGCGGUCUGAUAAGCCGGUUGUGAAAGCCCCGGGCUCAACCUGGGAACGGCAUCCGGAACUGUCAGGCUAGAGUGCAGGAGAGGAAGGUAGAAUUCCCGGUGUAGCGGUGAAAUGCGUAGAGAUCGGGAGGAAUACCAGUGGCGAAGGCGGCCUUCUGGACUGACACUGACGCUGAGGUGCGAAAGCGUGGGUAGCAAACAGGAUUAGAUACCCUGGUAGUC
RNAcentral lists this ribosomal RNA (465 nucleotides) under Vreelandella stevensii. RNAcentral describes it as "partial 16S ribosomal RNA". It matches the Rfam family "Bacterial small subunit ribosomal RNA", at positions 338 to 795 of the family's 1533-position model. The record is from RNAcentral. Lineage: Bacteria; Pseudomonadati; Pseudomonadota; Gammaproteobacteria; Oceanospirillales; Halomonadaceae.